CUAAAAAAAACUUAUAUUUAGGAACGGAGGGAGUAUUUAACUCAGAAUUACCCUCUAUUUUUUAUUUCAACCCAUACAUCUAAAUUUUCAAUAUUUUAUAAAAUGACAUUAUUUUACAGCACCCUUCCUCUUCUUUCUCACCCAAAUUGGCAACGAAUGUCACUUCUUCCUCACAAAUUGAACAACAGAUGCCCAUACAUUAUCAGCCAUCGCAUCAAACAAUCCACCAUGCAUGUCACCGUCGACACGCACCGACGCACGCUUGCACCACAUCCCCACCUCUCUCUAUCUCUCCACUGCCUCUCCCUUACCCUUCCAAGAAUAUUGUUAGAUUUGAGUUUUCUACUGCAACCUGUUAGUAGAGAAAGCAGAGAACAAAAUUUAAUGUCGUAUAUUAGUAGGAAAACCGAAGGUAGAACUUGCAUAUACAAAGGAAAUAGAUACAUGGUGAAGGUUGAGCUGAUAGGCUUAGCUAAGGCAACUACUCUAUGGGCCACGGUUCUUUUGGCAGCUUAAAAAAUAAGCCGCCUUUUCCCCGGCUUAUCUCACAAGCCGCCUCUCUUAUUCAUUGAGGCUUCUAAAUUAGUUAUGGGAUAACUAAUUUAAAAGUCUCAACAAAUUUCAUGAGCGGCUUAUUUUUUAAGCUGGGAGAGACAACUUAUUUUUUAAGCCGGCCAAAAGAUUUGGGCCUAUGAAUGGGUACCCACCUCAAUAGAUACAACUACAUUAAACCAGUAAUCACAUUUCAGGGCCUCUAAAAGUGCCCGGAGAUGGGUUUUAAAGUUGGACAAUAAAAUUGUUCUUACACCAGCCUUACGCAAUGCUUCAAACAUACAUUUAGAAUCAGGGUAAAUGAGCUGCCAUCAAACAGGUGCUCAGGAUCUCUGGUUCAGUUAGCAAAUGAGUUGGUUCACCUUAGAAUAUAAAUGUUUUAGUACUCUUCUAUUUCUAAGUACAAUUUUCUUUUUGCAUAAGGUAGUGUUGAAUGAUUAUACCUUGAUAAAUCGGACUGCACAUAGUACUUUGUGGCUGACACUACGUAUUUUGCUUCAUUUUUUAGAUUAAUCAAAACUGGCAAAAAAUAGCGCACCAAGUUCUGUAACAGUAAACAUAAAAUGAACAAGAUCAUUGAUAACAUUCGGGUAAGAUCUGAAAUGGGUGAAUGAAGGAGCCACACUUAAAGGUGGCUCAUUUUGUUGCAGGAGGAGCCGUGGUAUUUUGGAAACCACCUUGCCAAUUUAUAAUCAAUCAUCAAAAAAUUACAGCCACCAAGAUAGCUUUGAAAGCAUGUUGGUUGAACACUGCAUUAAUGAUGUACUCGUUCAACCUUGAGCUAUUAUCCUUAAAUUAAUAUUUCCCUGCAUGAACCUUAUUCAACACUCACAAAACUAUGUCUACUCACUUUGUCAAGUAGGCACGCGAUGUAUAUUCUGCAGUCCAUUUGUCCAACAAACCAACAUUUUAAACACCCUUUGCAGAAUAUAACCCGUCUCCUUCUCAAGAUAUUACUUCAAGUCUAGCAUGGAAGUGGUCAUGUAGACCACCACUUUAACAAGGCCGCAGUUAGCAUUUUGUGCAGUUGACACAAUUAUGGUAAGCAUUGUGCAAAUUAUAUCUAACAAAAAUAAGAGUGAACUUAUACAUGCACUUGCAUGCGACUUUGCUUCCUAUUAACACGACUUUUCACAUGACGUAUGAUCCCUUCUAUAUUAAAGUUAGAAAUGCCACCGACAUACUAAAUUUGCAAAGUUACGUACAACUAUUUUGUCUAAUUUUCUCAGGCUAACAUCCUUCUAAAGAUCAAAGAAAAAUAGAUAACCAUCAAAAACUAUGAUCUAAUUAUUAUUUUACAUAGUGCUUACCUAGGAAAUGCAAAGCUCAAAUAUCAAAGAAACAAAAUUUCAAAGUCUAGAGCAUUAACUAUUUCCACAUCUAUCAACACAUCAAGACACAAACCUUUUGUAUUUUAAAUAAGAAGGUAUGACGGUAAACUAAAAUUGUGAAUUUACCUUAGAUAUCCCUCCC
This 2025-nucleotide long non-coding RNA is filed under the name Triticum aestivum (bread wheat). RNAcentral's name for it is "long non-coding RNA (TAES_LNC000425)". The record is from RNAcentral. Lineage: Eukaryota; Viridiplantae; Streptophyta; Magnoliopsida; Poales; Poaceae.